Molecule: ribosomal RNA, 232 nt
Filed under: uncultured bacterium
Lineage: Bacteria
Description: partial 16S ribosomal RNA
Rfam family: Bacterial small subunit ribosomal RNA
Source: RNAcentral
AAGCACCUACGGGGGCGCAGCAGUGAGGAAUAUUGGUCAAUGGGAGAGAUCCUGAACCAGCCAAGCCGCGUGAGGGAAGACGGCCCUAUGGGUUGUAAACCUCUUUUGUCGGAGAACAAAACCCGGGACGAGUCCCGGACUGCGUGUAUCCGAAGAAAAAGCAUCGGCUAACUCCGUGCCAGCAGCCGCGGUAAUACGGAGGAUGCGAGCGUUAUCCGGAUUUAUUGGUUUU